AUUUAUUAGAAAACACCAACCGUAUGUUUGUAUGUGGUGAAUCUAGAUAACUUUGCUGAUCGUAUGGCCUUGAGCCGGCGACAUUUCGAUUGAGUUUCUGCCCUAUCACCUUGAUGCUAGUGUAUUGUACUAGCAUGGGAGUUACGGGUAACGGAGGAUCAGGGUUCGAUCCCGGAGAGGGAGCCUGAGAAACGGCUACCACAUCCAAGGAAGGCAGCAGGCGCGCAAAUUACCCAAUCCAGACAAUGGGAGGUGGUGACGAAGAGUACCGGAUGACUGAAGUAAUUUUAGUCAGUCUGGAAUGGAAUCAAUUUAAGCAAUUGAUUGAGUAACUACUGGAGGGCAAGUCUGGUGCCAGCAGCCGCGGUAAUUCCAGCUCCAGUAGCGUGCCUCAAAGUUGCUGCGCUUAAAACGCUCGUAGUUGGAUGAGAAACUACGCAUCGGAUAGUUAUUAUCUAGGCGAAUGAGCUACAUAUUACGCAUUACUGGGAUGCUUUCAGCAUUCAGUAUGUAUUGAUAUUAGUUUAACUAGUAAUAACAUAUAACCGGUGUGUAGUAAUUGCGUAUGAGGAUGACCAUUGACCUUAAGUGUGUUGAAGGUCGUGUCUCAUGGAAUGUGCCUUGAGUAAAUCAGAGUGCUCAAAGCAGGCGUGAUGCCUGAAUGUUGAUAGCAUGGAACGAACAAAAGUGUAGAUGUGUAUUGAACAUGGUAGUUAUUGUUUCGGCAGUAUUCUACUACAAUAUACAACACCGACCGCCAAUUACGGAUGUUGGUUCCGUAUUGGGGUACUGAUUAAGAGGAGCGGUUGGGGGCAUUGGUAUUUGGCAGCGAGAGGUGAAAUUCUUAGACCGGCGCAAGACGGACGAAAGCGAAAGCAUUUGCCAAGAAUGUUUUCAUUAAUCAAGAACGAAAGUCGGAGGUUCGAAGACGAUCAGAUACCGUCCUAGUUCUCACUGUAAACUAUGCCGACCCGGGAUUAGUCCAAAGCCUUAAUAAUACGGCUUGGGUUGGUCCCCCUGGGAAACCUUAAGUUUUUCGGUUGCGGGGGGAGUAUGGUCGCAAGGCUGAAACUUAAAGGAAUUGACGGAAGGGCACCACCAGGGGUGGAGCCUGCGGCUUAAUUUGACUCAACACGGGAAACCUCACCCGGCCCGGACACGGAAAGGAUUGACAGAUUGAUAGCUCUUUCUCGAUUCUGUGGGUGGUGGUGCAUGGCCGUUCUUAGUUCGUGAAGUGAUUUGUCAGGUUAAUUCCGGUAACGGACGAGAUCACAGUCUCCAUUUGACGAGCUGGAGUAAUCGUAGAUUGUCGAUAUUUGUAGCAAUACAGGUGUCGGAUUUAUCUGCGUUGUUGGUAAGAUGCAGGAGGUAGUGAAGUGAUUGGUGGCAUCUUCGGGUGUUGUCAGUUGCAACGCUAUCGAUUUUGCGUUUUCCCUCCAGUCAAACAGUGUUCAGCUUUUAGUUGUGCGCUGUAUCAUGGAGAGACAACGGUAUAUAAUAAAAAUCCGAGGAAGUGUGGCUAUAACAGGUCUGUGAUGCCCUUAGAUGUUCUGGGCUGCACGCGCGCUACAAUGGCGACGACAACGAGUGUCUGAAUCGAAAGAUUUGGGUAAUCUUAUAAUCGUCGCCGUGAUGGGGAUUGACGUUUGUAAUUACGUCAUGAAAGAGGAAUCCCUAGUACGUGCGAUUCAUUAAAUCGCGCGGAUUUAGUCCCUGCCCUUUGUACACACCGCCCGUCGCUACUACCGAGUGAAUGGUGUCAUAAUGCCUUGGGAGCGGACAUCGUUUGAGCCUUGUGUUCAAUUUGAUGCUGCGAUCAGCGUAGAAUGGCGCAAUUUCGAGGAAGUAAAAGUCGUAACAAGGUUUCCGUAGGUGAACCUGCGGAAG
RNAcentral lists this ribosomal RNA (1887 nucleotides) under Cyprinodon variegatus (sheepshead minnow). RNAcentral describes it as "SSU rRNA". It matches the Rfam family "Eukaryotic small subunit ribosomal RNA", at positions 203 to 1823 of the family's 1831-position model. The record is from RNAcentral. Lineage: Eukaryota; Metazoa; Chordata; Actinopteri; Cyprinodontiformes; Cyprinodontidae.